This 253-nucleotide ribosomal RNA is filed under the name uncultured bacterium. RNAcentral's name for it is "partial 16S ribosomal RNA". It matches the Rfam family "Bacterial small subunit ribosomal RNA", at positions 524 to 776 of the family's 1533-position model. The record is from RNAcentral.
UACGUAGGGUGCAAGCGUUGUCCGGAAUUAUUGGGCGUGAAGAGCUCGUAGGCGGUCUGUCGCGUCUGCUGUGAAAACUCAGGGCUUAACCCUGAGCUUGCAGUGGGUACGGGCAGACUAGAGUGCGGUAGGGGAGACUGGAAUUCCUGGUGUAGCGGUGAAAUGCGCAGAUAUCAGGAGGAACACCGGUGGCGAAGGCGGGUCUCUGGGCCGUAACUGACGCUGAGGAGCGAAAGCAUGGGGAGCGAACAGG